This is a long non-coding RNA of Bubalus bubalis (water buffalo), 760 nucleotides long. RefSeq lists it as uncharacterized. The record is from RefSeq and is a predicted model, not a curated record. The transcript is spliced from 3 exons. NCBI's taxonomy places the organism in Eukaryota, Metazoa, Chordata, Mammalia, Artiodactyla, Bovidae.
GAUUCACCUUUAAUGAGGCAAGAAGGAGCAGCAUCAGAUUAAUGACCUGCUGCGCUAACCCAAGAAAAGAGAGGAAGCCCAGGCCUCGUGGGAAGGCUUCCUGAAUCUCCGCCAGCAAGCCCGGCUUCAGCUGCAGACGUGGCAGUGACGUCACCUCCAGAGGAGUCCAGCUCCUAGUGUUAGUAUCAACCCCAACUGAUGAAAUGAAUGAUCAUCAAAAUACCCUGUCCUACAUGGGGAUAAACCCAUCUCCAGACACCACACUGGAGCUGAAUGAUGUUGUGUAGGUUGAUGUGUCUCACAUAAGGCCUGUAUUUUCAGAAAACCACACAUUUAUUUAUUUUUAUAUUUUUAUUUCCCCAUAAAGCCCCAUAUUGUUUUUGUGAUAGAAACACUUAUAAAAUUGAAGUCUAAUUUUGGUGUUCAAUAAACAAAUGCAUUUUGUGUACUGCAUUGUGUAUUGCUGUGUGUCAUACUAUACAAAAGCAUCCUAGGAUGGUAGAGGUAUAGAAGACAACUUGAAUUUUGUUUUCAAUAUAUUUCAAUAUAUUCAAUAUAUUGAAAUACAUUUGGACAAAUGAUAGAAAAUCUGUGGAAUAAAAAGAAGAAAGAAGUUCAAAGGAAAACCUAAAAUAUCCCACACUAGCUAAUUCUAAAUCCCUUAGACUUUUCAAAGCCAAGGUAAAUGGGUCAAAAUCUUUAUUAGGAAAGGGUCUAUAGUAGGAAUUGGUAUUAUUCAUGUUCAUAAAAGUGUUAAAGU